This 56-nucleotide transfer RNA is filed under the name Paramacropostrongylus typicus. RNAcentral describes it as "tRNA-Glu". Lineage: Eukaryota; Metazoa; Nematoda; Chromadorea; Rhabditida; Strongylidae. The record is from RNAcentral.
GAGACUAUAGUAUAUGUAAGUAUUAUUUAUUUUCAAUAAAUAGGAGUUGAGUCUUA